UGACCUUGGACAUCGCCAAAUUCCAAA
Molecule: small RNA, 27 nt
Filed under: Bombyx mori (domestic silkworm)
Lineage: Eukaryota; Metazoa; Arthropoda; Insecta; Lepidoptera; Bombycidae
Description: ovarian small RNA-31673
Source: RNAcentral